RNAcentral lists this ribosomal RNA (465 nucleotides) under uncultured Klebsiella sp. Its description in RNAcentral is "bacterial SSU rRNA". It matches the Rfam family "Bacterial small subunit ribosomal RNA", at positions 338 to 795 of the family's 1533-position model. Lineage: Bacteria; Pseudomonadati; Pseudomonadota; Gammaproteobacteria; Enterobacterales; Enterobacteriaceae. The record is from RNAcentral.
UCUACGGGUGGCUGCAGUGGGGAAUAUUGCACAAUGGGCGCAAGCCUGAUGCAGCCAUGCCGCGUGUGUGAAGAAGGCCUUCGGGUUGUAAAGCACUUUCAGCGGGGAGGAAGGCGGUGAGGUUAAUAACCUCAUCGAUUGACGUUACCCGCAGAAGAAGCACCGGCUAACUCCGUGCCAGCAGCCGCGGUAAUACGGAGGGUGCAAGCGUUAAUCGGAAUUACUGGGCGUAAAGCGCACGCAGGCGGCCUGUCAAGUCGGAUGUGAAAUCCCCGGGCUCAACCUGGGAACUGCAUUCGAAACUGGCAGGCUAGAGUCUUGUAGAGGGGGGUAGAAUUCCAGGUGUAUCGGUGAAAUGCGUAGAGAUCUGGAGGAAUACCGGUGGCGAAGGCGGCCCCCUGGACAAAGACUGACGCUCAGGUGCGAAAGCGUGGGGAGCAAACAGGAUUAGAUACCCUAGUAGUC